Molecule: ribosomal RNA, 466 nt
Filed under: uncultured bacterium
Lineage: Bacteria
Description: bacterial SSU rRNA
Rfam family: Bacterial small subunit ribosomal RNA
Source: RNAcentral
GUACGGGAGGCAGCAGUGGGGAAUUUUGGACAAUGGGCGCAAGCCUGAUCCAGCCAUGCCGCGUGCGGGAAGAAGGCCUUCGGGUUGUAAACCGCUUUUGUCAGGGAAGAAACGCUCUAGGCUAAUACCCUAGGGUAAUGACGGUACCUGAAGAAUAAGCACCGGCUAACUACGUGCCAGCAGCCGCGGUAAUACGUAGGGUGCAAGCGUUAAUCGGAAUUACUGGGCGUAAAGCGUGCGCAGGCGGUUAUGCAAGACAGAUGUGAAAUCCCCGGGCUUAACCUGGGAACGGCAUUUGUGACUGCAUAGCUAGAGUGCGGCAGAGGGGGAUGGAAUUCCGCGUGUAGCAGUGAAAUGCGUAGAUAUGCGGAGGAACACCGAUGGCGAAGGCAAUCCCCUGGGCCUGCACUGACGCUCAUGCACAAAAGCGUGGGGAGCAAACAGGAUUAGAUACCCGGGUAGUCCU